Molecule: ribosomal RNA, 359 nt
Filed under: Sibogella spissa
Lineage: Eukaryota; Metazoa; Cnidaria; Hydrozoa; Leptothecata; Plumulariidae
Description: partial large subunit ribosomal RNA
Rfam family: Eukaryotic large subunit ribosomal RNA
Source: RNAcentral
AUCCUGGACUGUGCCGGCGCGGGUCACGGACCCUGUAGGCGGCUGCACUUCUCUCCGCUGGUGGGCCAACAAAUGUUGGGCGAGAGGCAAAGGGACGUCUUGAAGGUGGCCGACUCUUCGGAGUCGGUGUUAUAGCUAGAUGUAUUCGCAUCUCUGGCGCGACAUGGGCAAUCGCGCGGCACAUUCCCUCCGGGGAUGGCCGAAAGGCACAAAUGUAGCCGAAGUUGUUGGCGGUCAAAUGAUUUCAUACGACCCGUCUUGAAACACGGACCAAGGAGUCUAACAUGUGUGCGAGUCUUCGAGUGAUCGAAACUCACAGGCGAAAUGAAAGUGAUUUACAGGGUGAGAUCUUGGUGUUU